This 398-nucleotide ribosomal RNA is filed under the name uncultured bacterium. Its description in RNAcentral is "partial 16S ribosomal RNA". It matches the Rfam family "Bacterial small subunit ribosomal RNA", at positions 338 to 754 of the family's 1533-position model. The record is from RNAcentral.
CCUACGGGAGGCAGCAGUGGGGAAUAUUGCACAAUGGGCGAAAGCCUGAUGCAGCAACGCCGCGUGAGCGAUGAAGGCCUUCGGGUCGUAAAGCUCUGUCCUCAAGGAAGAGAAUGACGGUACUUGAGGAGGAAGCCCCGGCUAACUACGUGCCAGCAGCCGCGGUAAUACGUAGGGGGCGAGCGUUAUCCGGAAUUACUGGGCGUACUGGGUGCGUAGGUGGUUUCGUAAGUCAGAGGUGAAAGGCUACGGCUCAACCGUAGUAAGCCUUUGAAACUGGGGAACCUGAGUGCAGGAGAGGAGAGUGGCAUUCCUAGUUUAGCGGUGACUUGCGUAGAUAUUCGGAGGACCCCCAGUUGCGACGGCGGCUCUCUGGACUGUACCUGACACUGAGGCAC